AGCAGCCGCGGUAAUUCCAGCUCCAAUAGCGUAUAUUAAAGUUGUUGCAGUUAAAAAGCUCGUAGUUGAACUUCGGGAUCAAUUUAUCGGUCGUGCCAAUGGUAUGAACUGGUACAAUUGGUUUCUCCCUUCUGACGAAGCAUGAUGCCAUUAAUUUGGUGUCGUGGGGAAUCAGGACUGUUACUUUGAAAAAUUAGAGUGUUUAAAGCAAGCAUUAGCUUGAAUACAUUAGCAUGGAAUAAUGAAAUAGGACGUUUGAUCCUAUUUCGUUGGUUUCUAGGAUCGACGUAAUGAUUAAUAGGGAUAGUUGGGGGCAUUAGUAUUCAAUUGGUCAGAGGUGAAAUUCUUGGAUUUAUUGAAGACUAACUACUGCGAAAGCAUUUGCCAAGGAUGUUUUCAUUAAUCAAGACGAAAGUUAGGGGAUCGAAGACGAUCAGAUACC
This 442-nucleotide ribosomal RNA is filed under the name uncultured Glomeromycotina. RNAcentral describes it as "SSU rRNA". It matches the Rfam family "Eukaryotic small subunit ribosomal RNA", at positions 569 to 1016 of the family's 1831-position model. Lineage: Eukaryota; Fungi; Glomeromycota. The record is from RNAcentral.